CGUAGGGCGCAAGCGUUGUCCGGAAUUAUUGGGCGUAAAGAGCUCGUAGGCGGUUUGUCGCGUCUGCUGUGAAAGCCCGGGGCGUUAACCCCGGGUCGGUGCAGUGGGUACGGGGCAGACUUGAGUGCAGUAGGGGAGGACUGGAAUUCCUGGUGUAGCGGUGAAAUGCGCAGAUAUCAGGAGGAACACCGAUGGCGGAAGGCAGGUCUCUGGGCGUGUUACUUGACGCUGAGGAGCGAAAGCAUGGGGAGCGAACAGGAUU
This 262-nucleotide ribosomal RNA is filed under the name uncultured bacterium. RNAcentral's name for it is "partial 16S ribosomal RNA". It matches the Rfam family "Bacterial small subunit ribosomal RNA", at positions 526 to 779 of the family's 1533-position model. The record is from RNAcentral.